Molecule: ribosomal RNA, 498 nt
Filed under: uncultured bacterium
Lineage: Bacteria
Description: partial 16S ribosomal RNA
Rfam family: Bacterial small subunit ribosomal RNA
Source: RNAcentral
AUUGAACGCUGGCGGCAUGCCUUACACAUGCAAGUCGAACGGUAACAGGUCUUCGGAUGCUGACGAGUGGCGAACGGGUGAGUAAUACAUCGGAACGUGCCUAGUAGUGGGGGAUAACUACUCGAAAGAGUGGCUAAUACCGCAUGAGAUCUACGGAUGAAGGCAGGGGAUCGCGAGACCUUGUGCUACUAGAGCGGCCGAUGGCAGAUUAGGUAGUUGGUGGGAUAAAAGCUUACCAAGCCGACGAUCUGUAGCUGGUCUGAGAGGACAAUCAGCCACACUGGGACUGGGAAACGGCCCAGACUCCUACGGGAGGCAGCAGUGGGGAAUUUUGGACAAUGGGCGCAAGCCUGAUCCAGCAAUGCCGCGUGCAGGAUGAAGGCCUUCGGGUUGUAAACUGCUUUUGUACGGAACGAAAAGCCCCGGGUUAAUACCCUGGGGUCAUGACGGUACCGUAAGAAUAAGCACCGGCUAACUACGUGCCAGCCGCCGCCGUAA